UUUCCGUAGGUGAACCUGCGGAAGGAUCAUUGCUGAGUUUUGAAUGAAGUUGUUCUGGUCUUUCGGGGCAAGUGAACGCUUCUCUCAAUCCAUCUUACACCUGUGCACCUAUCGGGGAAGACUUGGAUCUAAGUUGGGUCGCGACGGCGAUCUACAGUCUCCUCUUUAUACCAAAUAACAGUUUUAGAAAGUCUUUUUUGCUUGAUGCAAACUUAAAUAAAUACAACUUUCAGCAACGGAUCUCUUGGCUCUC
This 253-nucleotide unclassified non-coding RNA is filed under the name plant metagenome. RNAcentral's name for it is "partial contains small subunit ribosomal RNA, internal transcribed spacer 1, and 5.8S ribosomal RNA". The record is from RNAcentral.